CCGUCUUCCAUAUAUCUACUGACUUCAUAUAAAUGAAAGUGUACUGAGGACUCACUAAUCUGCACUACUAGUAACAAAGUAAUCCGACAAUCAGACUGGACCCGGUCAUGUUAGAAGAUACCAAAGAUAGGGGAUGAACAUACAAUCGAUUCUGCAUCGAUGCAUAACUUCGCUCGGAACGCGGCAAGAAUUAACAAUGGAAGAAAAUACUACAGACGUGUUUAUUAACAAUAAAGUUAUUUUUGUUUUUAUGAAAUAGCGAUUGAAUAAAAAUAUUAGGUAUAUGAGUUUUAUUUAGAGAUGAAAUAAGUCAG
Molecule: long non-coding RNA, 314 nt
Filed under: Leguminivora glycinivorella
Lineage: Eukaryota; Metazoa; Arthropoda; Insecta; Lepidoptera; Tortricidae
Description: uncharacterized LOC125229744
Source: RNAcentral